RNAcentral lists this ribosomal RNA (463 nucleotides) under uncultured bacterium. RNAcentral describes it as "partial 16S ribosomal RNA". It matches the Rfam family "Bacterial small subunit ribosomal RNA", at positions 28 to 507 of the family's 1533-position model. The record is from RNAcentral.
GAUGAACGCUGACAGCAUGCUUAACACAUGCAAGUCUUUGGCGAAUCUGUGCUUGCACAGGCUAGCCAAGGCGGACGGGUGAGUAACGCGUAAAGAACUUGCCCUGCAGACAGGGAUAACAGACGGAAACGACUGAUAACACCUGAUACAGUUGCCGGCACGCAUGUGCCUGGCAAUGAAAAGAGAUGCUGCAGGAGAGCUUUGCGUCCCAUUAGCUUGUUGGUGAGGUGACGGCUCACCAAGGCGAUGAUAGGUAGCCGGCCUGAGAGGGUGAACGGCCACAAGGGGACUGAGAUACGGCCCUUACUCCUACGGGAGGCAGCAGUGGGGAAUAUUGGACAAUGGGGGCAACCCUGAUCCAGCAAUUCUGUGUGCACGAAGAAGGUUUUCGGAUUGUAAAGUGCUUUCAGCAGGGAAGAAGAAAGUGACGGUACCUGCAGAAGAAGCGACGGCUAAAUACGUG